CUCAGUGGGCUUCCUCAGCAGGCUCAUGGGCAGAGGCUUUGUCUGUCUGUCAGGAAUCUCCACACUGAGAGGGCAUCUUACUCACGUGGUGUACACUGUGUUCAGCCAGGCCCUCUAAGAAACAGACACCAAGAUGAGGAAACCGAUGCAAGACAUCAAGCAGCUUCUGAGGUCGCGUGUUUGGAAGCCCAGCCCUCAAAGUGGAUGAACUUGCCCUAGGAGGAAGUUAAGCACCGUUGUCAUCAACACGGCCAUCAAUACCAUCAAAAGACAUUUAUUAAGCACCUAAUUGUGCAUAGCUCUGACUUCGACUGUGAACAGAGAAUCAGCAAAACGCUUUUGAGCCUCAGGCAUGGUGUGGCUGGAGUCUGCAUUCAUCCCUCUUCGCUGCUGAGAAGUCUUGCAGAGUUGGGAUGCCCCACGGUGAGCUGUCCACUCGCCAGUGGGUGAUUUGCUGUUAGACGGGGUAAAGUGCCGGGCCAGGACGAUCCUGCUGCAGAGAGCAACACAAAGGCGUCAGGCUGCAGGCCAAGUCUAGAUCGUUCCAUUAUCCUGGGAGGGGGCGGUCACCCAUAUAUUUUCCUUAAAAUACAUACACAGAAAUAAAAUACAUAAAAAUUUG
RNAcentral lists this long non-coding RNA (622 nucleotides) under Equus caballus (horse). RNAcentral's name for it is "lncRNA (ENSECAG00000048760.1)". The record is from RNAcentral. Lineage: Eukaryota; Metazoa; Chordata; Mammalia; Perissodactyla; Equidae.